GAUGAACGCUGGCGGCGUGCUUAACACAUGCAAGUCGAACGGAAAGGCCCAAGCUUGCUUGGGUACUCGAGUGGCGAACGGGUGAGUAACACGUGGGUGAUCUGCCCUGCACUUCGGGAUAAGCCUGGGAAACUGGGUCUAAUACCGGAUAGGACGAUGGUUUGGAUGCCAUUGUGGAAAGUUUUUUCGGUGUGGGAUGAGCUCGCGGCCUAUCAGCUUGUUGGUGGGGUAAUGGCCUACCAAGGCGUCGACGGGUAGCCGGCCUGAGAGGGUGUACGGCCACAUUGGGACUGUGAGACGGCCCAGACUCCGACGGGAGGCAGCAGUGGGGAAUAUUGCACAAUGGGCGCAAGCCUGAUGCAGCGACGCCGCGUGGGGGAUGACGGCCUUCGGGUUGUAAGCUCCUUUCGCUAGGGACGAAGCGUUUUUGUGACGGUACCUGGAGAAGAAGCACCGGCUAACUACGUG
This 468-nucleotide ribosomal RNA is filed under the name uncultured bacterium. RNAcentral describes it as "partial 16S ribosomal RNA". It matches the Rfam family "Bacterial small subunit ribosomal RNA", at positions 28 to 507 of the family's 1533-position model. The record is from RNAcentral.